GUGAGGUAAUGGCUCACCAAGGCGACGAUCCGUAACUGGUCUGAGAGGAUGAUCAGUCACACGGGAACUGAGACACGGUCCCGACUCCUACGGGGGGCAGCAGUGAGGAAUAUUGCACAAUGGACGCAAGUCUGAUGCAGCAACGCCGCGUGGAGGAUGAAGGCCCUUGGGUCGUAAACUCCUUUUUUCGGGGAAGAGAAUGGACGGUACCCGAAGAAUAAGUCACGGCUAACUACGUGCCAGCAGCCG
Molecule: ribosomal RNA, 249 nt
Filed under: Striatella unipunctata
Lineage: Eukaryota; Bacillariophyta; Striatellaphyceae; Striatellales; Striatellaceae
Description: partial Bacterial small subunit ribosomal RNA
Rfam family: Bacterial small subunit ribosomal RNA
Source: RNAcentral